GCUCCUAAGACCGAUUGAGCCACACUAUUACUAUAGACGAACUUAUGCUAAAACUAGUAACAAGAAAAAUUCUCUUCUGCACACCCCUGCUUCAGUAAUAGAACCCCUACUGAUAAUUAACAGACCUAACCCGGCACAGUACCCAUAGACAUAAAAACUGUCACCCCAACACAGGAGUGCAAACAAGAAAGGUAAAAAAUUGUAAAAGGAACUCAGCAAAGCCCUAUCCCAACUGUUUACCAAAAACAUAGCCUUUAGCAAUAUAAGUAUUAAAGGUCCCGCCUGCCCAGUGAAAUUUUUUUAACGGCCGCGGUAUUCUAACCGUGCAAAGGUAGCGUAAUCACUUGUCUUUUAAAUAAAGACCCGUAUGAAUGGCUAUAUGAGGAUAGCCCUGUCUCCUACAAUUAACCAGUGAAACUGAUCUCCCAGUACAAAAGCUGGGAUUACAACAUAAGACGAGAAGACCCUGUGGAGCUUUAAAUCCAUGACUACCCCCCCCGUACCUAGCACAUGAUUUUAAGUUGGGGCGACUUCGGAACAAAAAGAAACUUCCGAGCACAGAGCCGCACACUCUAACCAAGGCAAACAAGCCAAAGCAACAAACGACCCAGUCACACUGAUUAACGAACCAAGUUACCCCAGGGAUAACAGCGCCAUCUUCUUCAAGAGUCCCUAUCGACAAGAAGGUUUACGACCUCGAUGUUGGAUCAGGACACCCAAAUGGUGUAGCCGCUAUUAAAGGUUCGUUUGUUCAACGAUUAACAGU
RNAcentral lists this ribosomal RNA (766 nucleotides) under Tropidophorus misaminius. RNAcentral's name for it is "partial 16S rRNA". It matches the Rfam family "Bacterial large subunit ribosomal RNA", at positions 1546 to 2594 of the family's 2925-position model. Lineage: Eukaryota; Metazoa; Chordata; Lepidosauria; Squamata; Scincidae. The record is from RNAcentral.